CCCCAAUCUAUUUUAUUUUUUUACUUUGAGAAAGGAGCUUACUACAUUUCUGAGGGCCUUGCUAAGUUGCUGGGACUGGCCUCUAAUUUGCAGUCCUCUUGCCUCAGCCUCCCAAGUUGCUGGGAUUACAAAUGUGUGCCACCAGACCCAGCUCCAUCCAUUUAUUCUUUCAUUCAUUUUCCAUAUAUAGAUUUAUUUAACCAGUCUUGUGCCAGGCCCUUUGCUGUAUACUUGAGAUUCAGAGAUGAACAUGAGAGAGUUUGCAUCUUUAAUAAGCCCACAGCCUAGAUCAGGAAUAAACUGAUAAUUAGAGUAAAGUGAAGUACAGUAAUAUAGAAAGAUGCAGAAUGAUUACAAAGGAAUGAAGAGGAUCACUUGAUUCGAUUUAGGAGAAAAAAGUCUUUGAAACAAGUCUUGAAGACUCAGUUGAGGUGAACAGGCAGACCAACUUGGGCAGGAUGGGGAUUCCAAAUUGUAGAAACAUGUGGACAUGAGAGACUGUAGUAUGUGACAUGGAUGAUCAUGACAUUUAAUAUAGGCAUAGUAUGGGACAUAUAGGGUGUGAAGAGAUGUGGCUGCAGAAGUGGAGAAAGUCCAUAUCCUUAAGGGAUUUCUGUCACUCUAAAUGGUCUUUGCUUAGUACCAAAGGUAAUGGUGGACCCAAGAAAUAGUUUGAACAAAGAAAUGGCAUGAUUAGGUAUGUAAGACUUUUUUAGGUUUUCCACUAUUUAACUUUUCAUUUUUAUUUAUUACAUACUAUAAUAUGUAUUAAUUAUAUAGUAGUACACAAUAAUGAUUGGUUAAAAUGUUCAAUGCUUUGAAUUUUGACUUUUGAACUUUAUACAAUCACAUUUUUUUAAAAAAAGCAAAGUAAUCAAAGGGAAUACAAUAAAUUAUCUCAAAUCCAUCUUUACCCCAAAACACUCAUUGUAAACACCUCUAUUUAAACAGAUAGCCUCUUUAGUUUCCUAAAAAUAUAAAUAUAGUAACUUAUUUUUCCUUUUUUCUUAUAUAAAAUAUAACUAUUUCCAGUUAUGCACCUUACUUUUUUUUCUUAAUAAUGUAUCUUAAAAGAUUUUUCUGUAUCAAUACAUAGAG
This 1098-nucleotide long non-coding RNA is filed under the name Marmota monax (woodchuck). The record is from RNAcentral. Lineage: Eukaryota; Metazoa; Chordata; Mammalia; Rodentia; Sciuridae.